UGAGCUCGCCGGACGGCCGCGGCGCAAGCCGAGGAAAGUCCGGACUCCACAGGGCAGGGUGCUGGGUAACUCCCAGGCGGGGCGACCCGAUGGAAAGUGCAACAGAGAGCAGACCGCCGAUGGCCGCAAGGCACAGGCAAGGGUGAAACGGUGGUGUAAGAGACCACCAGCGUCCCGGGCGACCGGGACGGCUCGGUAAACCCCACCCGGAGCAAGGCCGAGCAGGGACAGGGCGGCCCGCCCGCUACGUCCCGGGUAGGCCGCAACGAGCCCGACCGGCAACGGCGGGCCCAGAUAGAUGGCCGUCGCCGGGGUCCGCCCCGGUACAGAAUCCGGCUUACAGGCGAGCUCACAGG
This 356-nucleotide RNase P RNA is filed under the name Actinomycetes bacterium. RNAcentral's name for it is "Actinobacteria bacterium (groundwater metagenome) RNase P RNA component class A". It matches the Rfam family "Bacterial RNase P class A". Rfam says of the family: Ribonuclease P (RNase P) is a ubiquitous endoribonuclease, found in archaea, bacteria and eukarya as well as chloroplasts and mitochondria. Its best characterised activity is the generation of mature 5'-ends of tRNAs by cleaving the 5'-leader elements of precursor-tRNAs. The record is from RNAcentral. Lineage: Bacteria; Bacillati; Actinomycetota; Actinomycetes.